Molecule: ribosomal RNA, 328 nt
Filed under: uncultured Chlorobiota bacterium
Lineage: Bacteria; Pseudomonadati; Chlorobiota
Description: bacterial SSU rRNA
Rfam family: Bacterial small subunit ribosomal RNA
Source: RNAcentral
GACGAACGCUGGCGGCGUGCCUAACACAUGCAAGUCUUGGGAGAAAGAGGUAGCAAUAUCUUGAGUAAACCGGCGCAAGGGUGAGUAACACGUAGGCAAUCUGCCCAAAGGACGGGAAUAACUUCGAGAAAUCGAGGCUAAUGCCCGAUGAUUUUCCGGUAUAGCAUUAUAUUGGAAUUAAAUGCCGCAAGGUGCCUUUGGAUGAACCUGCGUCCCAUUAGGUAGUUGGUGAGGUAACGGCCCACCAAGCCGACGAUGGGUAGCUGGUCUGAGAGGACGAUCAGCCACACUGGAACUGAGACACGGUCCAGACUCCUACGGGUGGCUG